Molecule: ribosomal RNA, 134 nt
Filed under: Citrus x limon
Lineage: Eukaryota; Viridiplantae; Streptophyta; Magnoliopsida; Sapindales; Rutaceae
Description: Citrus limon 5.8S ribosomal RNA
Rfam family: 5.8S ribosomal RNA
About the family: 5.8S ribosomal RNA (5.8S rRNA) is a component of the large subunit of the eukaryotic ribosome.
Source: RNAcentral
AAACGACUCUCGGCAACGGAUAUCUCGGCUCUCGCAUCGAUGAAGAACGUAGCGAAAUGCGAUACUUGGUGUGAAUUGCAGAAUCCCGUGAACCAUCGAGUCUUUGAAAGGGCACUUCUGCCUGGGUGUCACGC